AUCGUUGCUUCGGCGGACACGCCCCGGCGCAUCCAUCACGGGAGAGCCGGACCCAGGCGCCCGCCGGAGACCCCAAACCCUCAUGUUUUUAGUGGUUUUCUCCUCUGAGUGACACAUAAACAAAUAAAUAAAAACUUUCAACAACGGAUCUCUUGGCUCUGGCAUCGAUGAAGAACGCAGCGAAAUGCGAUAAGUAAUGUGAAUUGCAGAAUUCAGUGAAUCAUCGAAUCUUUGAACGCACAUUGCGCCCGCCAGUAUUCUGGCGGGCAUGCCUGUCCGAGCGUCAUUUCAACCCUCAGGCCCCCAGUGCCUGGCGUUGGGGAUCGGCGUGGCGUCCUCCGGGACGCUGCCGGCCCCGAAAUUCAGUGGCGGUCUCGCUGUAGCCCUCCUCCGCGUAGUAGCACAACCUCGCGGCCUGGAGCUCGGCGGUGGCCAUGCCGUAAAACACCCCACUUCUGAAAGUUGACCUCGGAUCAGGUAGGAAUACCCGCUGAACUUAAGCAUAUC
RNAcentral lists this ribosomal RNA (507 nucleotides) under fungal sp. E14821A. RNAcentral's name for it is "eukaryotic LSU rRNA". The stretch from base 133 to 286 matches the Rfam family "5.8S ribosomal RNA". Lineage: Eukaryota; Fungi. The record is from RNAcentral.